UACGUAGGGGGCAAGCGUUGUCCGGAUUUAUUGGGCGUAAAGAGCUCGUAGGCGGCUAGUCACGUCGGAUGUGAAAACCCGAGGCUCAACCUCGGGCCUGCAUUCGAUACGGGCUGGCUAGAGUACUGCAGGGGAGACUGGAAUUCCUGGUGUAGCGGUGAAAUGCGCAGAGAUCAGGAAGAACACCGGUGGCGAAAGCGCUCUGCUGGACCUUAACUGACACUGAGGGACGAAAGCUAGGGGAGCGAAUGGG
RNAcentral lists this ribosomal RNA (253 nucleotides) under uncultured bacterium. RNAcentral's name for it is "partial 16S ribosomal RNA". It matches the Rfam family "Bacterial small subunit ribosomal RNA", at positions 524 to 776 of the family's 1533-position model. The record is from RNAcentral.